GGAAUUUAUUCUCUAACUGCCAGAUGCAAGCCAAUGAUGUGUUGCUGCAUGCAAUGUUGUUUAGUUGGUUCAUGUGUUGGUAUUUACAGGGUUUGCUGCAGGUUGCAGGAUACUAGGAAUUCAAGUCAUGGUGCCUUGGUGAAGGGUUGGUACAUGACAAGUAAUGUGUCAAUUCUUUUGUUCAGUUUGAUGGUGAUCUUGCUUAGUGUACUUCGGGCUUGUGUUCUGCACCUAAGGUGCA
Molecule: long non-coding RNA, 241 nt
Filed under: Lathyrus oleraceus (garden pea)
Lineage: Eukaryota; Viridiplantae; Streptophyta; Magnoliopsida; Fabales; Fabaceae
Description: Pisum sativum (pea) long non-coding RNA (PSAT_LNC014549)
Source: RNAcentral